UACGGGGGGAGCAAGCGUUGUUCGGAUUUACUGGGCGUAAAGAGCUUGUAGGCGGUCUGUCGCGUCUGCUGUGAAAAUCCGGGGCUCAACCCCGGACUUGCAGUGGGUACGGGCAGACUAGAGUGUGGUAGGGGAGACUGGAAUUCCUGGUGUAGCGGUGAAAUGCGCAGAUAUCAGGAGGAACACCGAUGGCGAAGGCAGGUCUCUGGGCCACUACUGACGCUGAGAAGCGAAAGCAUGGGGAGCGAACAGG
Molecule: ribosomal RNA, 253 nt
Filed under: uncultured bacterium
Lineage: Bacteria
Description: partial 16S ribosomal RNA
Rfam family: Bacterial small subunit ribosomal RNA
Source: RNAcentral